GCUGGCGGCAGGCUUAACACAUGCAAGUCGAGCGGGCGUAGCAAUACGUCAGCGGCAGACGGGUGAGUAACGCGUGGGAACGUACCUUUUGGUUCGGAACAACACAGGGAAACUUGUGCUAAUACCGGAUAAGCCCUUACGGGGAAAGAUUUAUCGCCGAAAGAUCGGCCCGCGUCUGAUUAGCUAGUUGGUGAGGUAAUGGCUCACCAAGGCGACGAUCAGUAGCUGGUCUGAGAGGAUGAUCAGCCACAUUGGGACUGAGACACGGCCCAAACUCCUACGGGAGGCAGCAGUGGGGAAUAUUGGACAAUGGGCGCAAGCCUGAUCCAGCCAUGCCGCGUGAGUGAUGAAGGCCCUAGGGUUGUAAAGCUCUUUUGUGCGGGAAGAUAAUGACGGUACCGCAAGAAUAAGCCCCGGCUAACUUCGUGCCAGCAGCCGCGGUAAUACGAAGGGGGCUAGCGUUGCUCGGAAUCACUGGGCGUAAAGGGUGCGUAGGCGGGUCUUUAAGUCAGGGGUGAAAUCCUGGAGCUCAACUCCAGAACUGCCUUUGAUACUGAGGAUCUUGAGUUCGGGAGAGGUGAGUGGAACUGCGAGUGUAGAGGUGAAAUUCGUAGAUAUUCGCAAGAACACCAGUGGCGAAG
Molecule: ribosomal RNA, 641 nt
Filed under: uncultured soil bacterium
Lineage: Bacteria
Description: bacterial SSU rRNA
Rfam family: Bacterial small subunit ribosomal RNA
Source: RNAcentral